This is an RNA transcript of Chelonia mydas (Green sea turtle), 538 nucleotides long. It is a transcript of the gene named T cell receptor alpha variable 41, with no coding region annotated. The transcript has 2 exons. The record is from RefSeq and is a predicted model, not a curated record. NCBI's taxonomy places the organism in Eukaryota, Metazoa, Chordata, Testudines, Cheloniidae.
CACCGGCUCUCUCGCCUCCCUCGGCCCAGGGCUGCAGGUGGAGGAGAAGAGCUGCCGCCUGGGUGACUCCCAGGCUGGCUGGAGAGAAAAGCGGCAGCGCCCUGCAGAAGAGCCGAGACACUGGGGGGAUGGUCACGAUCCCAGGCUCAGCCAUUGUGCUGAUUUGGCUUUUCAGCUCCAGCAUGGAAGAUGCUGUAACUCAGACCCAGCCUUCAGUGUCAGGGGUGGAGCGUGAGUCCGUUUCCCUGGACUGCACUUAUGAAACUGUGGCGAGCAGUUAUAUUUUUUAUUGGUACAAACAGCUGCCCAGGGAAAAGGUUAUUUUCCUUUCUUGGCAACAUUCUGGAGGAGAAAAGACAAAUGAGGCAGGAGAGAGAUUUUUUUUCAAUUUGGAGAAAUCCAAAAGCUCCGUCAGUAUGAGGAUCACAGAGCUGGAGUUGGGGGACGCGGCCAUGUACUUCUGCGCUUUCAGUAGAGACACACACAAUGUUGAAAUUCAUAGGGAGCCCUGAACAAAAACUGACACCUCUCCAACUAC